Molecule: small RNA, 127 nt
Filed under: Marmota monax (woodchuck)
Lineage: Eukaryota; Metazoa; Chordata; Mammalia; Rodentia; Sciuridae
Source: RNAcentral
GCCAGGCACGGUGGCGCAUGCUUGUAAUCCCAGUGGCUCGGGAGGCUGAGGCAGGAGGAUCUUGAGUUCAAAGCCAACCUAAGCAAUUUAGAGAGGUGCUAAGCAACUCAGUGAGACCUUUCCUCUA